GCCCCUGUAGCUCAGCGGAUAGAGCAGCCGCCUUCUAAGCGGUUGGCCGGGGGUUCGAUUCCCUCCAGGGGCG
RNAcentral lists this transfer RNA (73 nucleotides) under Chloroflexota bacterium. Its description in RNAcentral is "Chloroflexi bacterium (anaerobic digester metagenome) tRNA-Arg". It matches the Rfam family "tRNA". From Rfam's summary of the family: Transfer RNA (tRNA) molecules are approximately 80 nucleotides in length. Their secondary structure includes four short double-helical elements and three loops (D, anti-codon, and T loops). The record is from RNAcentral. Lineage: Bacteria; Bacillati; Chloroflexota.